CCACCCACACAAAAAAUCCCACACCAACGCACCGAGACCUGCAUACUUCCGCAGAGGAAUAAAAAACGAAACACAAAUACUCCCACACCCAAACCCACACAAGAAACAACGCACUGAGAUCUGCAUACUUCGACAGAGAGAAUAAAAAGGAAACACAAAAAUUCCCACACCCACUGAGAUCUGCACACUUACACAGAGAAAAGAAAACAUAAAAAUCAACCCGCACAAUGUACGAAAAAACGAGAGACGAACUCAUAAGUGAUCCGUCCUUGGUACACGGGAUUUGAUC
This 289-nucleotide long non-coding RNA is filed under the name Actinidia chinensis (golden kiwifruit). Its description in RNAcentral is "long non-coding RNA (ACHI_LNC003233)". The record is from RNAcentral. Lineage: Eukaryota; Viridiplantae; Streptophyta; Magnoliopsida; Ericales; Actinidiaceae.